This is a long non-coding RNA of Oenanthe melanoleuca, 8254 nucleotides long. RefSeq lists it as uncharacterized. The transcript is spliced from 2 exons. The record is from RefSeq and is a predicted model, not a curated record. Lineage: Eukaryota; Metazoa; Chordata; Aves; Passeriformes; Muscicapidae.
GGCAGGGCCCCUCCCCGCGGGUGAGGCGCGCCGCGGGCCUGGCCCGGCCCGGUGAGGGGGGAGCGGCCUGCGGGCCCUGAGGGCAGCGCGGGGCUCCCGUGACGGCGGAGGGACCCGUGUCGGGGGCUGGCUCGGUGCCCUCCAGCCCGCCCGGCUGGCAGGUCGUGUGAUGAAAUCGGUCGUUCAGGGUAACCCGGGCUCGCCCCAGAACGCCCACGGUGCGCGUUUUGCUUCACGAGGCCCCCGGGUGAGCGAGGUGAUGCUGCGAGUAUCUGUGGAGGCGUCCCGCAGGUAAACACGGUGAAACCCCGUCGUCAGGGGUUGCUCCAGUGCGGAAGAGGAAAAACAGCAUUGAACAACCGGCUAGUUUGAAAUUGUUCCAACAUCAGACAGCCUUCCUCAAGUGGAAGUGGAUCCAGGUCACCUCUGUGGUCCCUUCCAGCCUGGAUUACUGUGUGCUUCUGUAACGUGCUCCCCUGCAACUCUUUCUAACAGUGAGUGAGCAGCCGGGGGGGCCAGGUGAUGCUUGGCAGCAGACUUGGACACUAACAGAAGUUCUAGGAGAUCCUGGUAUUGAUAACCACAUAAGCUCUUUGUUCACCAUUGGGACCUAAUUUUCAUUUUUAAUUUAUAUGUCUCAUAUAGUGUGAAGCCUCCAAACUACAUCUAGUGUGACUUUUUGAUUUAUCAGCAUUGCAUUUACCUCUUUCUUCCUCAGUCACACCAUCUCAUACUCCAGUGCUGAGAACCACAUUCAGUGCACUAAACUAAACCACUGCCUUUAUUUUCCUUAAAUUAUUAUUUUUUAUUUAUAUUAAAACUCCUUGGUUUAGAGAAUCAGACAAUAACAGAAGGUGGCCAACAGAAAACAUAUCUACAAAUUCUAAAUCCCCUUUCCCAGUGUUGCCAAAGACCAAGGUUUCUGAUCUGGCUCGUGACCAGCAUGCACAAGCUCACAGACUGCAAAUCAGGCUGAGCAGAGGAGGAAUGGGGUUUGCUCUCAACACAAGACAAAUCUAAUGGAAUCUAGGAACAGGCAGAAAGCUAAAUUCCAUGCUUAAUUAUAAUUGUGGAUAAAUUUAAUUAAAAAUUGUACUGUGGAUGAGCUUUAAACUUGGUACAGCUCUCUACAGCUUUUCAAAGGAGAAAAUUCCAUCCUCAGUGGACUUUGAAUUCUACUGUUGAAUUAGAAGUCUGGGAAAGUUAAAACAGCAAAAGCACCCCACACCCCGAAAAGAGGCAGAUGGCUGUCACAGAUAUGCUAUAAUCACACAACAGCACCUCCCACUGUGCCCUACAUAUCGCUCAACGAACCUCCCCAGCCACUCCAGAUGCUUCCCAUUAUCUGUUGUGAAAAAGCAGCUGCUGCAGCAGCGAUAGCCCAGGUACUGUGAGUCAGUCAGUAUUAAUGGCACAAAACCCCCAUCCCUGGCUAAAACUGUGAGUCAAAGAACAAGACUGCUUAAAAAAGGGGUGGCCUAAUUUCAAUUGUUCUGCACAUAGGUAAUGAUUGCACUGCAAAUAAUCCUAAAGCUGAGCAUUGCUCCCCUGAGUGCAGAGAAUCACACCAUGUAUUAACCACGGGUAAAUUACAAUUAAGGGCCUUUGACCACUGAGAACGUGGAGGAGGAAGGGAUCAGCUUAACACCAAAGCAAAUACCUGAAAAGAUUGGAGCAACUGAGCUUGAUUUAAUGCUUAAUCAGAUCCAGAAGAGCUCUGACCUACAUACUCACAGCAUCCCUGGGCUGCAGGCACAGCCAGUUGAGCAGCCAUACAGCCGCGGGGGAAGAGGGUUUAACGUGCUGAACCCGAGGGAGCAGCCGCCUGGACACAGCCCUGUGUCUGCUCCACAGCCUCACAUUCCCUCCUUGGAUGUUUCAGGCAAAAAAAUGUGCCCCCCACUCUUCAGAGCACCUCAACAUUCCACUUUGAUAGAGCAAUGGGAUUUUUUUUUUAGCUGCUGGUGGUGAUUUAGAGACUAUGGAGAUAACACACUGAUCAUUUUUGAAUAUGAAUGUGAUGUGGGAUUGUCAAAGUCAAUGACAGGCUGAAAGAGCUCAGCUUUGCUCCAUUGACAAGUUGGAAAAAUUCAUAGAACUCAUCCUGGAUUCACUCCUGGAUGAAUUAGGGAGACCAAGACAGAGAGAGAGCCAGGUAUGACCAUGGAAUCUGAAAAAGAACCUAAUCUACAUGUGGGGGAGAAUGAGACUUGCUGCAAAAACCAUCCCUUUUUUUUUCAGGAAUAAAAAACAUGAGGAACAUUUUUUAAAACAAGCAGCCACAUCAAAAUGGAACAAUGAAAAUAAUUGAACUGAUUGGUUUAGUGUAAGACCAGAAAACAUCAGAAUUAUUAAUGUGAGAGAGAUGGUAGAAAGACACUGCCAAGCUCAAAGGCCUGAGCCACUGUUUUUUAAAGCAGUCUUGGAAUAAUGCAGCAGCAGAAGAAAAUUCUUGUUCUCAGUACAAGUCUGAUAAACGCUCUCUCUCAAUUUAAAGCUAUUCCCCUUGUCCUGUCACUCCAGGUCCCUGUCCCAACACCAUCUCCAGUUCUUUUGUAAUCCCUUUAGGCACUGAAGGGGCUCCCAGGUCUCCCCAGAAUCUUCUCCAGGUGAACACCCCCAGCUCUCGCAGCCUGGCUCCAGAGCAGAGGGGCUGCAGCCCUUGGAGCAUCUCCAUGGCUUCCUCUGUCUUGCUCCAGCAGGUCCACAAUAUCCUUCUGAUAUUAGGGAUCCCAGAGCUAGACACAGCAUAGCAGGUGGGGACUCUCAGAGUGGAGCAGACACGAAUGGACUGACAAAAUCCAGUAACCAAGUCCUGUCAAGCAGACACCAAGUGAGAUUUUUUAUCAGCUUCUAUUUCUUCCUCCAACAGCACUCUCAUACACAUACACUCCCUUACAUAACAGCAGGGAUUCAAGAUAGUUUAAAAAAAUGAAGAGAAAGAAGAUUGAAAAUAGAAAUACCUACCUCAAACCUAUUUGCAGCACCUAUUUCCUAAUCUUACCCUCACUCCACCUCCCCAUAUUUAAACAGUGAUUUUUGUACCAGUUCUGCCCUGGCAUCCUCUGAAAUCAUCUGGAGCACUCUGGAGGAGCCAAGCCCUGAUCCUCUGCCUGCUGAGGGUGAGGGUCACGCACCUGCAGCCCCCUUAGCUUUGCCGAGAGCAGAGCAGCUGCCGGCCCUGCCGGUCCCGGCAGGCGGGGCAGCGUCACGCGGUGGCGCCGGGGCUCGCUCCGAGGGACGGGAGCCGCCAGCGAGCUCAGCGCCGGAGAGAUGCGGUCCCGGGCAUUCCAAGAGAAUGGAAAGUGCACGCUUUCUGUAGAUGGUAUUGAGAACGACCUUCAGUGGUACCGUAUAAAACUGUAAAUAUCCUUGAUAUAAGUACGAGGGGAAGGGAACUGGGUUAACUUUACAAGGGUCCCUGGCACUGGUCUCCAAUGCUGGAGCCGUUCGAAGUCCAAAAAGCAGAUUUUGGGCUCUGAUGCCACAAAUAAUGAUGAGUAGUUACUUUGAGGUUUCAAAGUCCAUGGGAAUAAAUGUGUGUUUUAGAAGUCAGCAUUUUAAAAUGCAUUCAAAGCAUUUUACAAAGAGAUUCCAGGGGGGAAAGGGACAGUCCAGUAACAUUUUGAGAUGGCUGAGCAAAAGCUCAUGAGCAGACAAACAGAACCCAUCACUAGCUCCUCUCUCCCAGGAAGCAGUGACACCCCCUCCCCUGGGCAUUGUCCCUGCUCCAGCAGCAGCCGGCUGUGUUCCUCUUCCCCGAGGACAAACACAGCAGUGGAAAAGGAGCGGAGCUGCCUGGAAAGUGGGUCAAGCAUGGAACGAAACACCCACCAGAGGGUACUCCCAGGCAGGGCUUCUCGCGGCCCCCCACCCCGCAUUUUCCUAAUAAAAUAAAGAAGCAGAAAAGAGUAGCCAUCACUGCCGACUCCUGCACUGACGGCCACGAUAAAGAAGGCUUUUCAAAGCAAGGUUUAGGGUUGGGGGGGUGUUUUCUCAAACUCCUGAAAAAUAAAGGCAGUUGAGAGCCAGGCUGAAGCCUUUCAGCCCAAUCGAUCAUGCAAUUAUCAAUGUAAACAGGACACUCCUCUUUUACAGUUCAGCACUUUCGGUUUUAGAUGCAUAAUCUGGAAAACAGCUUAUAGAUUUAUUGAAAUUAAAAAACAAACUAAAGCAACAAAACAAACCAAAAGAACCUAACCUCCAAAAACCCAGAUGCGUUUGGGGGAAAUUUACUGAGGAAGAUAUAUACAGAAGUUAAGACAACCAAAAGCAAAGAUUUAGUUUAAUUUAUACAACCUUGUGCAAUGAUACACGUAGCAGCAAAGUGGAGUGUUCUCAAAAUCACUGUCCUGCAAGUUCUCAUGCAGGAUGUCAUCCUGAUCACUGCUCCUCUUCCAUCACCAGUCCAGGUACUAUUAGCAACUGAUGUUUUAAACAUUAUUUAUUCCAGCAGCAAUUAUUUGUCUCCAUCCCAAAGUUCUGUUUACCAGAGAGUAAUUAAGAGGUCAGUAGUUCAGCCCAUUUUAAAGAAUAAAGCUUUUAAGCUCCAGCACAGGUUUUAGAAGGCUAAAACAUGCAGCACUGUUUAAUUUAAAACCAAAAGUGUUGCUUCAGCCUUUUUUUCCUGUCCAUAUGCCAAAGCUUGUUCAAGAAAGCAGCCUGCCUUUAUUCCCAUCCAAAAGGAGUACAGCUAAAUGAAUUAGAGCACCAAAAUAACUUUUUGUAAAACUACAAAAGGCUGACUCAUGAACUGCUGACUCUGCAGGGUUUUAUUGGUGGGUUCAUGGGUACUGAAAGAUUUCUACACCGCCCAGUAUGAUUUUUAUUUAACACUUUACCUGUUUCCAACCUUCUCCGAGAAGAACUUGCAGAACACCAAUACUCUGUUAUGACUGCUGUAGCACACAUAAGGCAUCCAAUGCCUUCUACAAGGCUUCAAAAAUCACUGCUUGUAGACAUUUUGCUCCAAAAAUCCGAGCUCAUACAAACCAUUAGUACGGUUGCAAAAAACAUGGAACACGUAAAAAGCCAUUUCUCAGGCAAAAUUUGGUCUAACCUACAUAGGAACCCUUAAAACAUAUUAAUAGUUUCCAGGAGUGCUCUGCAUCCAGACGAAAGUAGCAAUUAGAGCAAUAAAUGAGUGUGGAAGAGGUGUGUAAGGAGGUAAUGAGAGUGCAGCCACGCCUUCAACUCACUGAAUUUGGAGCAUCUCUUAAUUUGAAAUUCAAAACUGCGAUCACACUUGCAUCUUCUUACAACUCUUUUUCCUGAAUGAACAAGAGUACUUAUUCUUCAGCCCCUCCCAAGGUCACAGCUCCUGCAAGAGCAGGAACUGCACUCCAGUAAUACUAAGGAAACAAAGAGGUGAGAGGGGAAAAUGAAUAUUUAUUGAACUAUGAAAAAAGACCCAAAAUAUACCCAGCACUAUCAUAGCAGGUUUGGUUUUGUCUUGUACAGGACGAAAUCCUUUAGGAGUCGGGAUAAAUUUUUAAAUUGUCAAAGACUUUGUCCCAAGGCCCUUGAAACACAAUUGCUUCCUAAAAAGGGCUCAGUGCUUCAGUUUACUACUAUAAAAUCAAAAUAAAUCCCACACAACAUGGAUUGGUAGGUAUUGGCACCUGUCAGCCGUUUUUUCUGUUACUAGAGGAGCUUUUGACAGGAACUGGACCAAGACACAGGCAGGUGAAAUGUCACAAUUUCCACUGGCAGGAUGUCCCUCAUCACCUUUUACUCAGGACAGAAUUUGUUACCAUCCAGACACAUGGGUAAGGAGUUAAGGCUCUAUCUGCGCUCUCCCAUGCAUCCAGUUUUCUUGCCAGGGUAUUAUCAGAAGACCUAAACAAGGUACCAUUGCCCAAGCACUUGGAGCAGGGAUACUGAGUGUGUACAGAAGGAUCAGCAGCUAGAAACAAUCCAAAAUGAGCACCAGGUGACAGUCACACACGUUGGUUACCUUGGACAAACAUCCAUCUACAGCAGCAGCUUGGUCAGAGACAAUGGAGCAGGGACAGGGGCAGCAGCCAGCCCCAAGCUCCAGGGAUCUGUGAAGAGGGCGCCAUAAGCAGAGGGACAAAGCAGAGGGUGCAAAUGAGAAGAAAGCUGUAGAAUGAGGGCGAAGGGGGAAAAAAAUCUAGCAAAUCCAUACACCUCUGUAUGUAUGCAUGUGUAUUUUUUUUUACUGGCUUUGAGAAGAAAAAAAGAGAAAUAACAUGGAAAAGUACCAUUUCAUUCCCAACUGCUUCUGAUAACCUAAACCCUAAUGUCAGCCCUCCCCACUAAGAGCUGGGUGUGAUAUUUCCACUUAAACAAUAUGGAAUUUUCAGCUCUGCCUCUAUUUUGUAUUUCAUGGAAUGUAGCAGGCAUUGUAGAGAUGGAGGAAUUGCCAGUAAUCUCCAAAACCCACUCAGUUCUCUGCAGACACCAUGGUCAGAGGCUGAAGUAAAACACAUUUUGUGCAGGUAAACUAAUCAAUCAGCUACCAAUAAAUCAAACUCCAAUUAUCUGUAUCUUUGUUUCUUCUCUUGCAUCUUCCAAACAUGGGUUCAGCUGGUUAGUGCUUCAUAAGAGCAACUGAUUUUUUUCCUUCAGUGUGGUUUUCUCACUGGAAUCUUCACACAGACCAUCACAACAUAAUUAUAGAGGAAAGCACAAAAACUGGAGUGACUCCAACAUUGUCCAUGGACUUUACUAACAACCACUUGGAUUUAUGUACAGAAACUGAAGCAAGGAAAGAACUGCUCCUCACCAGAGCAGAUGAAUCACACCAAUUAAAGCAACAAGGAAAGCAGAAAAUAGGGCAAAGUCAUUCCUCUUGAAGGAAUGGUGUCAAUGAAAGCACAAAGUCCCAUCUACACAAACACAAGAGAAAGACAAGCGACAGGAAUGGAACAUGAACUGCUCUCAGCAAAGGAUUUUUUUAAUAGUGAUCAAAGCAAAAGCUCCCAAUAUAAUUUAAAAAAGCCACUUCAGAUGCACUUAUUUUUAGCAUGCACUUCUUCCUGUAAGAGAUGAAACUACAGCAGACUGAGCUCUCCAGAAGCCAUCUGGAACCCAACCUACAGGACAAGGCUCAAAUUUUGCUGAAGGAAAAGCAAUCACUUGAGCCCUUCUGAAAGGGGAUGAAGUAAUGCUUGAUGAAAUGCAGACUCUUCUUUGCAAGUUAAAGAAUUAAGUGGUCCUCCAGCUUUUCAGAAAAGCAAGAAAGUACCAAAAUGCAUGUCUAGGACUAAAGCUCCAGGUGAGUUGGACAUUUGUAAAAUUUCUGUGUGUUCCCUUAGAAACAGUGUAAAAAACAAACCUCCACAUUAUUACAGAAUCCACACUGUGCCCAAGAAACUUCAAGUCUCAAACAAUAUGAAUAUUACGAGUCCUUCUAUUAAGUCAAUAGCCAGGUACAUCAUUUAGAUGUACUCAAGAAGUUUCACGCACAAGCCGUAAGGCGGAAUAAUAUAUGAAUUUUGGCUUUGAACCAAAUCAUCAAAUUUGGGUUCAAAUUUUGAAGAUGUUAGCAGAAAGGAAAUACUUAAACAGAAGUUAAUAUAAACCACACACCACUGUUUUUCAGAAUGGAAGCCUGGGCAAAUACACGUAGCACUAAACGUAAAGUUGUUUCCUUUAAUAUUUACAAAACUGGUUUUAUUCUUAGUUUUUCAGAAAAAUUAUUUUAAGUAUUAGCACCUACAUUGUAAAUGACUUAGAUUUACACUUGAAAUAAAGCAACACACAAUCAGUUAAGUGAACCUAUAUUCUCCCAUUUCUGAGUAUUUCAGUAGAGCACCAAGAGGGAAAGAGCAACAUGUGAGUAACCAGCAAGCUGUUCUCAGCUGUGAGACACAGGCCCAGGCACCUUCCUGGGACAGGAUUCUAAAGGUCAGUUUUCCAGCACACUCCAAAUCACCUCAGUUUUAGUUAUUUAUAGAGUGGAAACUUCUAUGCAAGUUUAUAAAACCCAUCCAGCUACAUGUUAGUUUAUUAAACCACAGUUGACCUGAGAUGCAAUUACAAUUUUGACAUUUUUCCAUACUUAGUUCACAAGUUUAUUAUGAAAAACACUGCAGCUCUCUCCUGCAGUAACAUUGUUUUACAGAAAAAAAACAGUUCUGUUCAAAGUAAUUCACUAUCCUUGGACAAUUACAAGGGACAAUAUGGUAGGGCAGAGUGGAAAAGGGAACUGAGUGCAGACAAAAAAAAAAAAAAAAAAAAAAAAAUCAAUACAAUUAAAUUAAACAGUAUUCCCUGAAAAUAAAACAAA